Long non-coding RNA from Priapulus caudatus, 265 nucleotides. RefSeq lists it as uncharacterized. The transcript is spliced from 2 exons. Lineage: Eukaryota; Metazoa; Priapulida; Priapulimorpha; Priapulimorphida; Priapulidae. The record is from RefSeq and is a predicted model, not a curated record.
AUAAUUAAUAUAUAUAUAUAUAUAUAUAUAUAUAUAUAUAUAUAUCUAUAUCCCGUGUAACUGUGAGUAUGGAAUCUACCACUACACCCUAAUAGAAAGGCAGAUAUGGUAUGAAAGGGAACAUUUUGUUGAAAGGUUUUGGGAAAUAGAAGCACAAUCUAGAAAGCGUAUAGUUAUAGCUCUAUAUUACAACAGACAUGCUAUUACGAAUGUGUAUAUAUGUCCAGUAUAAUGAUCUGGUAAACAGUCUAGAAGUAGCAAAUUU